Non-coding RNA from Pimephales promelas (fathead minnow), 1332 nucleotides. Lineage: Eukaryota; Metazoa; Chordata; Actinopteri; Cypriniformes; Leuciscidae. The record is from RefSeq and is a predicted model, not a curated record.
CAUUGUGGGAACAAGAUCCCGGCAGCGCGAAAAGUUUAAGACGCAUCCGCCAUUACACACGCAGAUGACCGCGGGCAAAGUUGCUUUUUAGAGCCGGAUUUCGGGUGUGUGGAAGCCAUUCUGACACUUAUGUGGUAAAACUUAAACUUAAAAACGAAAAUUAUGUUUUGCUUGAUAAGCUGUUAACGUAACGUUAUUUUUAGUUACCAUCUGGCAUUAACUGGUAGGCAAAUGAAUGUCGGAGCCGUCACGUUUAUCAUUUUAUGCAUAUCGUCACACAUUGAAAGAGUUAGUUAAGACUCGUGGAGGUUCUCGAUUGUAGUGUCCUUGUUGUAAUGGGCUUAUUUACUUUUAUUUGUCGUGAUGCGGUUUAUUUCUUGCCGAGCGAAUCCGUUAACUAGUUGUGAUAGUUCUAACGUUAGCUAGUGUUUUUAGAGCAAUUUAAUGCCUUCAAGCAAAAGCAACCAGAGGAAUCGUCAAGAAAAGUAAACGCCAUUAAGACUUGCUUGAUUUGAAAGGCAUGAAGACACAACGUGAAGAGACUGUUUGUGAAUAUGCAGUAACUUGACCGCUACAGCUGGAUCAAGGAAAACACCAGCACCUUUUCUGCAAAAUGAGGACUUUUCUGCUGUAGUUUACAUCCCAAGCACCACCUGCAUGCUUCUUAUGGGUGGUGGACAUUCAGGGUUGCUGUCAUUCAAGAAGUUAUUGACCACAUCUCCUACCCUAUUGAGGCAGUAAGAUGCAAAAUACCUGAAGAAUAUGGCACUUAUCCUGGAUUUCAUAUAAAGAAAUCCUGAACGAAGGUUGAAAAGGCUGAGAUGAAGGAAACGUCCCCAUUCCUCCAAAACUGCUGAAGUUCCUGUAUGAACAACUUCGAAAAACCAGCUGGCAUCUUGGGGAGGACGACCUCGCAUCCAGUAUGCUGCUGUGGGUGCCGCAGGAUUUCGAACUCAUUCGAUCACUUGUCUCUAUGCUUUUCGAACUGUGGCGACUAAUCGUGCCUUGCUGUGGGUCAAGCCGCUGGAUCUUCAGAUCUUCUUCGAUUUGCUUAAUCCAUCCUUUUUUUGGGUGCAAUGCGCUGGAUUCUACACUGGGUUGGACGUUUCCUCCAGAGGACUUGUGUGGUAUUCAAUUUGCAUCCAUUCUGCAUGUGUCCAAACAUUUCACUCUAUUGACUAGAAGUCUAAAGCAAUUUUUAAAAGCAGAAGCCUUAUCUUCAUUGCAUUUUGUUUGUUUCUGUAUUGUAUCGUAUUCUAUUAGUAUUGCAUUUGAAAAUGUUUUGAAUCUUGACUUUCACAGUUUAUGAAGGUUUUUUUUUUUCCAUUUUUU